GAUGAACGCUGGCGGCGUGCCUAAUACAUGCAAGUCGAGCGAACAGACGAGGAGCUUGCUCCUCUGACGUUAGCGGCGGACGGGUGAGUAACACGUGGAUAACCUACCUAUAAGACUGGGAUAACUUCGGGAAACCGGAGCUAAUACCGGAUAAUAUAUUGAACCGCAUGGUUCAAUAGUGAAAGACGGUUUUGCUGUCACUUAUAGAUGGAUCCGCGCCGCAUUAGCUAGUUGGUAAGGUAACGGCUUACCAAGGCAACGAUGCGUAGCCGACCUGAGAGGGUGAUCGGCCACACUGGAACUGAGACACGGUCCAGACUCCUACGGGAGGCAGCAGUAGGGAAUCUUCCGCAAUGGGCGAAAGCUUGACGGAGCAACGCCGCGCGAGUGAUGAAGGUCUUCGGAUCGUAAAACUCUGUUAUUAGGGAAGAACAAAUGUGUAAGUAACUAUGCACGUCUUGACGGUAACUAAUCAGAAAGCCACGGCUAACUACGUG
RNAcentral lists this ribosomal RNA (497 nucleotides) under uncultured bacterium. RNAcentral's name for it is "partial 16S ribosomal RNA". It matches the Rfam family "Bacterial small subunit ribosomal RNA", at positions 28 to 507 of the family's 1533-position model. The record is from RNAcentral.